This is a long non-coding RNA of Homo sapiens (human), 2828 nucleotides long. RefSeq annotates it as LRRK2 divergent transcript. The record is from RefSeq and is marked validated. The transcript has 9 exons. NCBI's taxonomy places the organism in Eukaryota, Metazoa, Chordata, Mammalia, Primates, Hominidae.
AAUCCUGAUGACAAUUCUGAAAUGGAUACAACUACUACUAUGUAUCCUUCUUUCACUAGUGAGGAAAUUGAGAUUUGGAAUUGAGAAGUGAAGAGCUUUGCUGGAGUCACACAGGUGGGAAGUUGAGAGCCAGGACUUCAACCCAGCAAAUCUCCUAACUCCAGAGAGAAUGAUUAGCUGCUUCCCAGUGUUUAUCUCCAUGUGGAAAAUUCCAACAUCAUAGGUUGAAAUCAACUCAGGAUAUGGAGUUGCGAUCAUGUCAUCAGAUGUUAACUUUAGAGUCAAGAAAACUUUUAAGCUAUUUACAGCUUUUAACAAUUAAGUAUGUUCCUACAAACAAAAUUUGGAGCAUAUUUAUUUCUCUCUACUGAUUUCUCCAGAAUUUGUAAACUAUUUGAAUCAAGCUUGACUUAUGGAGACAAUAAAAGUCCCUUGGAAAAACUGGCCUCAUACCUUGGUCUACAUAGCUCCUGAUCUGCGGUAGGUAAAGAAUGUCACUUUCUGACAGGUUCAGGAGCCCUAGGUUUAUCUUGGAAAGUCAAGAGGAGAAGAUCACCCAACUUGUAGGUAUUUAAUGACACAAAUCCAUGGCUGGGCUUGGCUUUAAAAAAAAGUCUUAUCUGAGAUUCCUUCUAUGGAAUAGAGUUCCAUCAAAGCCAAUUUAAAAACCUAUGCAAAAAAAAUAAUUAUUCUUGCUGCACUGUAUACAAAUAAUCAGGCCAAGUGUAAUAAAACAAAUCAGUUCUGCCAGGAUUUGCCUUUAGUAAAAAUGGGAAACUGGAGAGAGAAAAACUAUGUUUCAAAAACUAUAGUAUACCUGUUUUUAGAUUCUAGUCUUGCCUAACAUUUUUCAAUUUUUAUUUUUUUCUAGUUUAAACCUAAUUCUAAUUUUUCUUAACUACAAGUCUUCAAAAUAAUGUUUUCAAUUUUUUUCUGCUCUUUUUCCCCAUUAUUCCUAAUUUGGAGUCACUGAAAACUAAACUGCUUUUGUAAAGCCCUAUGAACUGAAGCUAGACAACUUAAACUUCAGAAGAAAAUAACAGCAACCUAUUUACAUGCAUAAGCUACUUUCAUACCUGCCUACUGAAGGCUUCAGAGUAAUGUGGCCUAUAUCAAUUUUCUAGGAUUGUCCUUUUGUUUGCUGCUGUUUUUCUCCCUUCCUCUCCCUAUUUUCUCUUCACAGGACAUGAGACUUCACAACCUUCCAAAAAUGAGCUUUCCUAAUAACUUGAAAGCAAUGAAGAGAGAGAGUCUGAAGUGAUUAUGAAAAGAAUAUUGAGCAAGAAGAGGAACUUCUUGAGUAAGAAGUGGAACUGAGAGGUGCUCAUCAUGACAUUUAAAUAUUUCCUGAGAAUUCUCAGAAAUAUUAGGGUUUCAGUGGCCCUGGUUCCCCAUGACAAAAGUACAAAGAGUACCCGCAAGAAGUAAGUUGAAGAUAAGGAGUGAGGAGAAGGAAGGUUAGUGGUAAGGCCACCAGUGAUUCUAACAGCAAAGGGACAAGAAAAAAGACUGGAACUUUAUUUAGAGGAUAAAGCUGAUGCCUGGCUUGCCAUCUUGCCCAGAUGGGACCUCAGGCAUAGGUUCCUAACUGUGAAUAUCCUGAUUUUGAAGAAAACAGUAGAUUAAUUUCAACUGCUGGCAGCUUUCACUUGACCUUGCAAAGGUUACAAUUAUCCAGAAAUCUCAUACCUAUGAGGGAAGCCAACUUCUGUGUCAUGAGGACAUUCAAGCAGCACUAUGGAGCCAUCCAUGUGGCUAGGAGCUGAAACUGAGCCAAGAAGCAGUGAGGAACUGGCUGGUAACAGCCAUGUGGGUAAAAGCCAUCUGAGAAGUGCAUGCUCUAGUCUCAGUCAAGCCUUCAGAAGACUGUGGCACCUGACAUCUCCACUGCAACCUCAUUAGAAACUCAAGACAGAACUGCCAGAGAAGCUCUUCCUGAAUUUCUGACCUACAGAAACGGAAGAAAUUGUGUUUUGGAAUUGGGCCAACAGUAUGUGUUUCUCCGGUGGAUAAGCAAAAUUUCAUAAGAACAAAGAUGAUUCAAGCAGAUGUUUAUCAUGAAACUGCCAUAAAAAGCACCCGAAGUCACAAAGAUAAACAUCAAAUCCAGUCCUUGGAAAUUUCCCCCACCCUACCUGAGCAUCUUUUGAAGUAGAUAUUCAAUUAUUUUGAAGGAUUUUUAAAGAAUUUUCUAGAUUUCAUCUAAAAGACACUUUUGAAAUCUGCGUUAAAAUUCAUGGAAAUAUAUCCUAGAUGAAUUUGGAGGAAUGUAAGCAAGUAGGUACAAACCUUUAUUUUAUCCCUCAGUGACUCACUCAGUUGUGAAUAGGAAGGGCUCUCUGUGAUCUGGCCACAGCUUAUUUCUUGCCACAUUCCUAUUUUCAGUCCUCUUCCAAUCAUGUGGAACUUCCAGCAUCUCCUUACACAUGCCAUGUUAUUUCACACUUUUGUGACUUUGCUCAUAUUUUUCUCUCUCCCUGGAAAGCUCCCCGACAACCUCCACUGCCAUUACCCACUAGGCAAGUACAUCCUGUUUUCAGAAUCAGCCCAAUAUCAUCUUUCCUAGGGAAUCUUGUCAGACUGCCCUUCAUUACCAACAGACAAAAUAACUACCUUAUCUUUGGUUCUGUCUUCACUCUAGACCUAUGUAGCAUGCUACUUAUAACACUGCAUUGGUUUGUUGGCAUUUGUAUUUUCCACUGAGCAACCAUAACUUAUGUGUAGACAAAAAUUGUAUUGCUCACCUUUGGAUUACUAGGACCUAGCAGUGUUCUGAUUCAGAGUAUGUACUCAAUAAAUUCAUCUUGAAAAGUGAAUGAAUGAAUAAA